This 460-nucleotide ribosomal RNA is filed under the name uncultured bacterium. RNAcentral's name for it is "partial 16S ribosomal RNA". It matches the Rfam family "Bacterial small subunit ribosomal RNA", at positions 338 to 795 of the family's 1533-position model. The record is from RNAcentral.
CCUACGGGUGGCAGCAGUGAGGAAUAUUGGUCAAUGGACGAGAGUCUGAACCAGCCAAGUAGCGUGAAUGAUGACUGCCCUAUGGGUUGUAAACUUCUUUUAUAAAGGAAUAAAACGAGGCACGUGUGCCUUUUUGCAUGUACUUUAUGAAUAAGGAUCGGCCAACUCUGUGCCAGCAGCCGCGGUAAUACGGAGGAACUGAGCGUUAUCCGGAUUUAGUGGGUUUAAAGGGAGCGUAGAUGGGUUGUUAAGUCAGUUGGGAAAGUUUGCGGCUCAACCGUAAAAUUGCAAUGGAUACUGGCAGUCUUGAGUGCAGUUGGGGUAGGCGGAAUUCGUGGUGUAGCGGUGAAAUGCUUAGAUAUCACGAAGAACCCCGAUUGCGAAGGCAGCUUACUAAACUGUGACUGACAUUGAUGCUCGAAAGUGUGGGUAUCAAACAGGAUUAGAUACCCUAGUAGUC